Molecule: microRNA, 23 nt
Filed under: Pteropus alecto (black flying fox)
Lineage: Eukaryota; Metazoa; Chordata; Mammalia; Chiroptera; Pteropodidae
Description: pal-miR-458-5p
Gene: pal-miR-458-5p
Source: miRBase by way of RNAcentral
AGAGCCAUCUACAGAGCUCUAAG